GCUGGGAUAGCUCAGUUGGUAGAGCACAAGACUCUUAAUUCCAGGGUUGUGGGUUAGAGCUCCAUGUUGGGUG
RNAcentral lists this transfer RNA (73 nucleotides) under Podarcis lilfordi (Lilford's wall lizard). Its description in RNAcentral is "tRNA.Lys". Lineage: Eukaryota; Metazoa; Chordata; Lepidosauria; Squamata; Lacertidae. The record is from RNAcentral.